UAGUUUUCUUUUUUGGUGGUAUCUCUGUCUGGUUUUGGAAUGAGGGUGAUGGUGGCCUCAUAGAAUGUCUUUGGGAGUAUUCCUUCUUCUUCAACCUUUUGAAAGAGUUUAAGGAGGAUGGGCACCAAUUCCUCUUUAUAUGUUUGAUAGAAUUCACCUGUGAAGCCAUCUGGUCCUGGACUUUUAUUUGUAGGGAGUGAUUUUAUGACCUCUUCAAUUUCAUUUCUAGUGAUCGGUCUGUUCAGUUGGUCUGUUUCUGCUUGAUUCAGUUUUGGCAGGCUGUAAGAUUCUAGAAAAUUGUCCAUUUCUUCCAGAUUGUCAAACUUGUUGCCAUAUAGUUGUUCAUAGUAUUCUCUUAUGGUUUUUUGUAUUUCUGCUGUAUCCGUUGUGAUUUCUCCUUUUUCAUUUAUAAUUUUGGUUAUUUGGGUUCUUUCUCUCCUCUUUUUAGUGAGUCUGGCCAGGGGUUUGUCAAUUUUGUUCACCUUUUCAAAGAACCAGCUCUUGGUUUUAUUAAUUUUCUCUAUUGUUUUUUGAGUCUCUAUUUUAUUGAUUUCUUCUUUGAUCUUUAUAAUUUCCUUCCUUCUGCUGACUUUAGGACUUUUUUGUUCUUCUUUUUCUAAUUCGUUUAGGUGGAGGGUUAAGUUGUCAAUUUGGGAUCUUUCUUCUUUUUUGAGAAAGGCCUGUAUUGCUAUAAAUUUCCCUCUGAGCACUGCUUUCGCAGCAUCCCAUAGAUUUUGAGAGGUUGUGUCUUCAUUAUCAUUUGUUUCAAGGUAGUUUUUAAUUUCCUUCUUGAUUUCCUCAUUGACCCAUUGGUUUUUUAGUAGCAUGUUGUUUAGUCUCCAUGGAGUAGGUUUUUUCUCUUUGCUUUUCCCAUGGUUGAUUUCUAAUUUCAUGGCAUUGUGGUCAGAGAAGAUACUUGAGAUAAUUUCUAUGCUCCUAAAUUUAUUGAGAUUCGCUUUGUGUCCCAAUAUGUGGUCGAUUCUUGAGAAUGUUCCAUGAGCAUUUGAGAAGAAUGUGUAUUCUGAUUUUUUUGGAUGUAGUGUCCUGAAGAUAUCAAUUAAGUCUAACUUUUCUAUUGUUUCCUUUAGGAUCUCUGUUGCUUUAUUGGUUUUCUGUCUAGAGGAUCUGUCCAUUGAUGUGAGGGGGGUAUUUAGGUCUCCUACUAUGAUUGUAUUCUCAUCAAUAUCUCCCUUUAUGUCUGUUAAUAUUUGUUGUAUGUAUCUGGGUGCUCCUAUAUUUGGGGCAUAUAUGUUGAUGAUAGUAACAUCCUCUCCUUGGAUGGAUCCCUUAAUCAUUAAAUAGUGUCCUUCUUUGUCUUUCUUUAUGUCUUUUGUUUUAAAGUCUAUUUUGUCUGAUAUGAGCGUUGCGACUCCUGCUUUUCUGUCAUGUCUAUUGGCGUGAAAUAUUUUUCCCCACCCUUUCACUUUCAAUCUAUAUGUAUCUUUUGUCUAAGCUGAGCUUCUUGUAGGCAGCAUAUUGAAGGUUUUUGCCUUUUUAUCCACUCAGCCAUUCUGUGUCUUUUGAUUGGGGCAUUAAGUCCAUUGACAUUUAAUGUGAUAAUUGAUAGAUGAUUAUUUACUGCCAUCUUGAACCUCUUGUUCCAGUUGAUUCUAUGGUUCGCCAUUCUUCCUUUCUUUUUUUGGUUGGAUGAUCUCCAGUGUCUUUUUGUUUGUUUGUUUGUUUGUUUCAUUUUUUUGUGAAUGCAGUGUUUGGUUUUGGCUUGUGGUUGCCCUGUUUUUUAAGUAUACCAACCCCUUCCCAUAAUUGUGUGUUUCAGCCUGAUGGUCCUGUACGUUCAAACACUUCAUUACUAUAUUAAAAUUAAGAAGAGAAACAAACAAACAAAAAAGGUCUAUUUAUUUCCUAACAUCCCUUGCCCACAUUUUAUGAUUUUGAUGACUCUUUUUUUCCCAGGUGUUUGAGAAACCUGAACUGUUCUUAGAAAUAUUUUUCUCCAGUGUUGGCCCAUCAUGAAAAGGCCCAGAAAUGGAAAUAGGAACUUAAUCUCUUAUUAUGAAGAGAUUAUUGAGGUUGGAAUACUGAAACUCAGCAGUAACAAUUGUAUUGGAUCCAGGUAAAAGGGUUCACUAAAUGGCCUGGUAUUUUUUCUGGAAAGGUCAAGAUUCAAAGCAGAGAGAACUCUAGUAGGAGACUGUCAUCCUACCAUCCACACCAAAGACUGAGAAAAUUGAUAAAGGGAAUUGACAUGUACUGACCACCUAGUAUUUGCUAGACAUUGAAAAAGGCACUAUGUAUAUAUUCCUUCAUUUGUACAAUACAAUUUUCCUGUGACGUACAGUAGGAAAACCACCGAGGGAUAUGUAGCUCCUGCAGUCCAAGAACAUCAAGUGUGAUGAUGGAGGUACAUGAGAUGUCAGUUGUAACUACAUAUGAUAAAUGCUUAGAUAUGGAGUACAUACUGUUUCAUUGGAGCAUAUACAUUUAUUCCUGCCUUGGAAAAUUGUGAGGUCUGGAAAUGUUUUAACAGAGAAUGUGACAUCUGAUAUGAGUCUUUUUAUAUCAUCUAAUAUCAGAAUACCGUGUUGUGCAUAUUAUUUCUAUUCACUAGUGAGACUGAAGUACAGAAAGCUGUACAGUCUAUAUAAGGUCAUAUAAUAAUAAUAGCAAAUUUUUAUAUGGCUCUUAUUCUACAAGUGUUAUUAUAAUCUUCCAUAACACUCUAACAUGGAUGCUUUUGUUAUUUCACUUUUACAGUUAAGAAAACCAAGCCCUGCAGAGUUAUGUAAUUGUUCCAAGUUUAUAUGUUCAUAAAGGCAGUGUUGGGAUUUGAACCAAGACAGAUAAGCUGUAAUAGUGUCUAUGUGCUUAACCACUGUAGCAUACAUUCUCAUGGUUGAUCAUUAAACCAGGAUUUAAAACUCAGCAGUCAGACUCCAGAACCCAUGUUGUUACUGACACCAUGAGACUGGCAUUUGGAAAAGAUUAUUUUGACUAUAGUAAAAACAGUGAACUGAAAUGAGAUAGACUUGGAGACAGAAAGACCAAAGAGAAGAAAGCGUGGAUGCUGGUCUUAAUUAUCCUCAAGUAAUGGCAGCUAACAUGUACAGCAGCAUACAGGUUCAAGAGAUUUUAGCAAUUAAAAAGAUCAGGACUUGGUGAUUAAUUAACAUGGAGUAUGAAGGAAAUAAGAAAGUCAGGGAUCACUCCAGGGCUUUUUGUUUGACUAAAUGAAACAUUGAUAAAUGAGGUGAAGAAUACAGGAGGGAGAAGAAGAUUUAAAGAGAAAGUUGUUGAGUUUUUCAUUCUUUUUAAAUUUUCUGUUUGGAAUGCCUGUAAGGGACUUGAAGGAAGAUGUCCAGAAAGCAGGGCAUUUGUGACUCUGGAACUCAGGAGAAAGGUCUGGACUGGGAAAUAGAAAAAAGGACCACACAAGGAAAUAGAGGAUUGACAAGCAUAGAGGAUUGACAAGAUACAGCUGAGGUUUUAGAAUGAAAUGUAUCAUGGCCUAAAUCUAUACAGUUGUGUGGAGGAAGAAGAGGGAGAAGAAAAGAGAAAGGAAAAAUCUUGGAAGGCAACAGAAGGAUAAAGAUUAUGAAUAGUUAAAAGGUAAUAACUCUUUCCUGUUUGCCUGCUCACCUUCAGGGCCAAUUCUUUGUGCUGUUUUACAAAUUUGGAAGGGAGGAGAAUUGAAAGAAGCUGAGAAGGCUUGAUCGAUUUACGUUAGGAAGUUAGAGGGAGAAAACAAUCAAUCCAGAAAGACUGGAGGAGGGGAUGUAAUAAAGGAAAAUGUCAUAUUGGUGGUUCUUGGAGAGAGAGUCUGAGGAAGAUUUGAGGGUGUGAGAUAAGAUUCUAGCACAGCCACCCUGCUCUAUGACCUAAGGAAGAGACAAAAGAGAAUUUUAAGAUCUUUUGUUAUACAUUAGCAAUGAAAUCCUAUAUUAGUGCAUCUUCAUUAGAGUUCAGUACAGAUUUAAAAUAUCUGUUCACUUUUCAAUACUUUUUGAAUAUAGGUUGCUGUUUUGCUUGUUUGUUUUUAUCUGAACAUGGCUUUCUAAGUCUAGCCAAAAUUUCUCUAUUUCUUUAACAUAGGCCUAAUUUCUGGGAAGAGGUAAGUUUCUUGCUAUUGGGGAGUUUAUAUUCUAGAAUGUAUGUGAGGUGGUAGGCUGAAGGUAGGGAAAGUGGUGUGGGAAAGAGAAGAAAUAAAUACUUAAUACAUUUGGAAAAAAAAAUAGGAAGGAUUAGAAGAUAAUCCAUAUGAUGUCUUGGACUAGGGUAAAUGAGGAAAGAAGGGUUUCAAGAAAAGUGUGAAAGCUUUUCUCUUUCGAUUUUUGUAUCCAAAUCAAGCAAAGGCAGUACAAAUAUGAAAAAUUAUAGACCAAUCUCAAAUGAAAACUGCGAUACAAAAGAAUCCCAAAUAAAGGAGUUCUUGCUGUAAUGCAAUGGGUUAAGGAUCUGGUGUUGCUGCAGCUGUGGCAUAAAGUCUCAGUCGUGGCCCAGAUUUGAUUCCUGGCCUGGGAACUUCCAAAGGUCAUGAGUGUCAAAAAAAAAAAAAAAAAUCCUAAAUAAAAUAUUUGCAAAAUGAAAUAAGUAAUGUUUUUGUUUGAGUGUUAGUAUCUCCAGACCAUGUAGGCUUUAAUAGAAAGAACUCAAGAAUGGUUAAAGUUUUUAAAAAUCUAUCAAUGAUAUCCUUUGAACAAAAAGUGCAAAACUAUAUGAUCAUCUCUGUAUUGAAUGUAUGAAAAACAUUCAGUAAAAUUCAAUAAUUAGAAAAACUUAGUAAAUUAGGAAUAGAAGGAAAAUUCCUUAAUCUGAUAAAUGGUAUCUGUAGAAAUUAAAUAAAUAAAACAAAAAACAGCAAGCAUGCCAUUUGAAAGUCUGGAAAAAUGAAAAGGUUGCCUGUUUUUCCAACUUUUCAGCAUACUAGAAGUUCUACCCAAUAUAAUAAUAAAAAAAAUGUAUAGUUUGGUUAGAAAGACACAAUGUCAUCAUGCAGAUAUUACUAUUAUUUAUAUACAACUAAAAGAAGAUAUAAGCAACUUUGCUGGAUGGAAAACUCAAAUCUUGGGGGUUCCUGUCCUGGCUCAGCAGAAAUGAAUUUGACUAGCAUCCAUGAGGAUAUAGGUUCACCCCUGGCCUGACUCAUAGGGUUAAGGAUCCGGUGUUGCAGUGAGCUGUGGUGUAGAUCGCAGGCGCAGCUCGGAUCCUGCAUUGCUGUGGCUGCAGUGUAGGCCAGCAGCUUCAGCUCCAAAUCAGCCCCUAGCCUGGGAACCUCCAUAUGCCACCGGUGUGGGCCUAAAAAGACAAAAGACAAAANAAAAAAAAAAAAAAAAAAAGAAAGAAAGAAAGAAAAGAAAAAGAAAGAAAGGAAAAACCCAAAUCUUAACUUUCCUAUCUAAUAAUAAUUUUUAAAAGGAUAAAAAGAACAUCAGUAAUAACAAAAAUUAUACCAAGGAUAGACAUAAAAGAAAUUUCAUGAGCAGUUUAUCUGAAGAAAAUUAUGAAGUUAUAAAGCUUUGCCAAGAGAUUUUUAAAAACACAUUAACAAAUAGAUAUAUGUUGGUUUGACUGAAUACAAAAAAGUGCAAAUAUCCACAUUAGUCUAUAAAUAUAAUGUGAUUCAACAGUAAAAUGAAUGAAUUUACUAAACAGAUAGUUAUUCAGGUACUGUCCUAUGUCAAACUGAAAACUAUUGGGAUAUGGGAAAAAACAGUGAAAUCUCUGUAUUCAUUGAGCUAACAUUACAUGAUUCCAAGCUUCACAGAUUAUUUUUUCUUUUUUUUUUCUUUCUUUUUUUUUAAAUUAGAAUAUAAUUGACUUACAAUGUUGUGUAAAUUUCUGCUGUACAGAGUAAUGACCCAUUCACACAUAUAUAUAUACAUAUUCUUUUUCUUAUGCUAUCUUCCAUCAUUUUGCAAGAGAUUGACUAUGGUUAUAGUUCCCUUUGCUAUAAGUAGGACCUCAUUGCUUAUGCAUUCUAAAUGUAAUAGUUUGCAUCUACCAACCCCAAACUCCCUAUUCAUCCCACUUCCUCCCUCCCCCUCCUUGGUAACCACAAGUCUGUUCUCUGUCCCAGAGUCUGUUUCUGUUGUGUAGAUAGGCUUAUUUGUGCCACAUAUAAGUGAUAUCGUAUGGUAUUUUUUUUCCUUUUUACAGCCACACCUGCAGCAUAUGGAAGUUACUGGACUAGAGGUCAAAUCAGAGCUGCAGCUGCAGGUCUAUGCCACAGUCAUAGUACAAUCACACCCAAGCUACAUCUGCGAACUACUUCAUACCUUGCAGCAAUGCUGGGUCCUUAACCCAUUGAGCAAGGCCAGGGAUCAGUCCUCACGGGCACUAUGUUGGGUUCUUAACUCACUGAGCCACAGGGAACUCCCAGUAAAAGUUCUAACAUUUACUUCGAAUGCUCUAAGGAACAAUAAACACAAGAAGUAUGAGGAGGAAGGAUGGUGAAGAGAGGGAGGAAUAAUGCAGGCUUGCCUGUCUAUACAUUUUUAACUUGAUUAUGAAAAUUUUCUUUUAAUUGAGGUAUAAUUGACAUACAACAUUAUAUUAGUUUCAGGUGUACAGUGUAAUGACUCGAUAUUUGUAUAUAUUGCAAAAUGGUCACCACGGUAAGUCUAGUUAACAACCAUCACCAUACAUAAAGAAUUUUCUCUACUUGUGUUGAGAAAUUUUAAGAUUUACUCUUGGAGUUCCCACUGUGGCUCAGUAGUUAACAAACCCAACUAGUAUCCAAGAGGAUGUGGGUUCAAUACCUGGCCUUGCUCAGUGGGUUAAGGAUCCAGUGUUGCUGUGAGCUGUGGUAUAGGUCGCAGAUGUAGCUAGGAUCUGGCGUGGCUAUGGCUGUGGCUGUGGCAUAAGCCAGCAGCUACAGCUCAGAUUGGACCCCUAGCCUGGGAAUCUCCAUAUGCUGCAAGUGUAGCCCUAAAAAGACAAAAAGAAAAAAAAAAAA
Molecule: long non-coding RNA, 6913 nt
Filed under: Sus scrofa (pig)
Lineage: Eukaryota; Metazoa; Chordata; Mammalia; Artiodactyla; Suidae
Description: lncRNA (ENSSSCG00065049630.1)
Source: RNAcentral